GUGUGUGUGUGUGUGUGUGUGUGUGUGUGUGUGUGUGUGUGUGUGUGUGUGUGUGUGUGUGUGUGUGUGUGUGUGUGUGUGUGUGUGUGUGUGUGUGUGGGAAAGAGAGAGCUCGUCUGGGGGAUUAUAGGCAGUCUGAGAAAAGUACCUGCUGAGAGGGUUGAGGAGGAGGACAUGAACGGGUGAAACAGAGAGAGAUUAUUUAAACUGGCUUUGUUCUGUAAGACUUGUCUGCACAGGAGCUUAAAACACCAACGGCACAGGGGCCUGGAAUAUAUGUGAGUGAGAAGACAUUCAGUUUGUGUCUGUUCCUAUGAGCAACCAUCUGCAGCAUGGCAGAGAAGAAGCCCAAGAAGCGGAGUGCUGCUGCUGCAGCCCAGGCGGUGACUCAGCCAGAACCUGAGGUGACGGCGCUCCUGGAGGGUCUGAUGAGCCGUAUGGAGGUGGUUCUGAUGGAGAUGGAGUCCCUGCGUGACCACAGCACCCACCACAGUGCCGAACUGACUCGUCUCUUGACCGAGCUGAGUGCUGAGAACCGGGCCCUCAAGGAGCAGUUCCAGGCCCUGGCGCAUGAGAUGCAGGACACCAUGGACAUCAUGGAAGAGCUCAUAGACACCAAGUAUGCCCAGGAUGCCAAGGAAAAACAAGCUCGGAAACUGAGCCGCCAUUUUUGAGCCCCAAGCAUCAGAUCUGAGCUGCAAACACCAGCGAUGAGCAGCUCCAAGCACCAGCGAUGAGCAGCUUCAAAUACCACUAUGAAUGAUAACAGUAAACUGUCAAUCAUAAGCAUCUGCAAGCAAGCCAGUGUCACAGCAGCAGUUCAUUUUCUAACAGUCUUCACAGAAAGAGCCAACUCAUGACACCAUAUCCAAAGACUUUUCUUUGACCUUUCUCUGACUUUGAUCAUUGUGAGAUAAGAAGUACCAUACAAAAAUGAUGUCUCACUGGGCCAACUACGGACAAAUGAAGAGUGAACUGAGAUAUCUUCAAGCGCAUGAGGAUGAUAAUGUAUAUUAAUGAAAGGAAAAUCAGAUUGAAGCUGGUUUACUUUAGCCAUAUAUAUAUAUACAUAUAUAUAUAUAUAUAACUUGCUGGUUGUACACACAGAGAGUUAUUACAGAGACACAGUCCCUGUGAAAACCAGUCUGUGGAAUUGUCCCAAGCUCUCUAAUCUAGAGCUUCAGCUUUAACACAGUCUGACCAUAUCAACCAAUCAGAGAACUUCCUCAAAGAUGAGCAUUCCUGCCCACCCAAUAUUGUGGGCCAGCACCACACAUUGAAAAUAGAUUUAAUUACCAAGUCUUGCUGACAUUGCUCAGAGAAUCUUUAAUUACACAAAUGGAUGACUAUUAUGAACUGCUGUGAUGGACAUGAGAAUACAUGAUGCAGAAAGACAGAAUUGAUGACCUUAAAGUUUAAGACCAAAACAAACAAAAGGAGCGUGUAUGAUUACACAAGAGUAGAUAAAGUAGAUGAGAGAAUGGGGAGUAAUAUAAUGCCUUUGUUUGGGAAGGAUGUUAUUUUCAAUAACAAUUAAACACUAUUAUUGCACUAACACUGGCCCUUUUUGAGCCCGUAGAGGUCAUCAAGGGCAAGGGUGUGUGAAUAUCCUUAGAUAAGGACAUUUUGUGCAUCUGUGAAUGUUUUUAUUAUUUAUUUAAUCCAUUAAACUAUUGUUUUAACGAGUCUGUUCAGCACUAUAACGUGUUAUAAUGUGUUAUGUAAAUAAACCUUACUCUACUGGACCCACUCGUGUUCUAAUGUCACCCUUUAAUGACCUAAAGCAUG
Long non-coding RNA from Clupea harengus (Atlantic herring), 1788 nucleotides. NCBI's taxonomy places the organism in Eukaryota, Metazoa, Chordata, Actinopteri, Clupeiformes, Clupeidae. The record is from Ensembl.